Molecule: long non-coding RNA, 730 nt
Organism: Culex quinquefasciatus (southern house mosquito)
Lineage: Eukaryota; Metazoa; Arthropoda; Insecta; Diptera; Culicidae
Exons: 3
Source: RefSeq, a predicted model, not a curated record
UCCUGGAGAAAGCACAACUUGCACCACCACGUAUGGGAAGACUUGCUGGGUUAAACCUGCUGAGAGGAACUUGCACGAUCAAGCCCUCUCGGAAAGCCUGGAAUGAAUCAGAACAGGAAAGCCAGAUGACAAAUGUGUAAGAGGGAACGAGAUGCCUUCAGUAAUAUUCCCAAAAUCUGUUCGGGUAAAUUCGUUACUCGAAACUACGAAAUUUCUCACGAAAUUACGUACUUCCGUUCAACCUUUCCCUAAUGACGCUUUCUGAGGAAAGUUACAAUUUCUACUCGUCCACUUGGUCCUGAGUCGCGGAAGAGGCAGCAGCGCCGAUCCAGUAGUCUAGCCCCCCGGUGUGUUUAGUGACGUGUCCAACCUUAGCUUAGCUAGUAGUUUGUGCGGUCCGAUUCUGUGUGCGAAGAGGAAUUAAAAGCCGACGACGGCGUUCUGUUCUAGAGUCGGAACCAACCGCCUCCUACCAGCUCGUGCUCGCCACACCGCCACCAAAAGCCUUAGCCGCCCUGCUGACCCCGCGGUCUCAGCGAUCGAGCCCCGGAAGUCCCACUGGGAUCCGGAAGGGAGACCACACGCUACACGUGGCUCCAGGGAGAGCCAUCCAUCGCGCCAGCCGUUCCUGUCCAGCCGCUGGUCCAGAUUCGCCGCAGGAGUUCACCAGACCGUAGACGUCGGUCCACGUGGUCACGCGCCGUCCAGGUUCCCGAAGGAGGCGACCCGU